This 488-nucleotide ribosomal RNA is filed under the name uncultured bacterium. RNAcentral's name for it is "bacterial SSU rRNA". It matches the Rfam family "Bacterial small subunit ribosomal RNA", at positions 28 to 504 of the family's 1533-position model. The record is from RNAcentral.
GAUGAACGCUAGCGGCAGGCUUAACACAUGCAAGUCGAGGGGCAGCGUGAUGAAGUAGCAAUACGGAUUUGACGGCGACCGGCGCACGGGUGCGUAACGCGUAUGUAACCUACCUUUAACAGGGGGAUAACACUGAGAAAUUGGUACUAAUACCCCAUAACACUUUGAGAGGCAUCUCUUGGAGUUGAAAGUUCCGGCGGUUAAAGAUGGACAUGCGUUGUAUUAGCUAGAUGGUGAGGUAACGGCUCACCAUGGCGACGAUACAUAGGGGGACUGAGAGGUUAACCCCCCACACUGGUACUGAGACACGGACCAGACUCCUACGGGAGGCAGCAGUGAGGAAUAUUGGUCAAUGGACGCAAGUCUGAACCAGCCAUGCCGCGUGCAGGAUGACGGCUCUAUGAGUUGUAAACUGCUUUUGUAUGAGGGUAAAAUUAGAUACGUGUAUCUAACUGCAAGUAUCAUACGAAUAAGGAUCGGCUAACUCC